RNAcentral lists this unclassified non-coding RNA (555 nucleotides) under Hevea brasiliensis (rubber tree). The record is from RNAcentral. Lineage: Eukaryota; Viridiplantae; Streptophyta; Magnoliopsida; Malpighiales; Euphorbiaceae.
AAAAUAUUAUAUUCAAUUUAAAAAAAAAUAAUUCACGAAGGUUAAGAAUAAUGAGGAGAUUAACGGAAAGAUAAUAAUAAAAAUGACAAAAGAAAAAGAUACAUAAAAAAUGCAGUAAAUAUAAUUUUUUUUAUCUUUCUUAUGUAUCGCAUAUUAUUAAGUUUUUAAGAAUAAUUAUGUUAAAAUAUUGGCAUUGUACUGUAAAGUAUUUCUUUAUUAAUUACAUAAAGUAUUAUAGGGUUAAAUUUUUAAUCUAUAUUAUUUAUUGUUAAUAUUUUAUAAUUUUAAUAUACAUUAUUUUGACACACUUAAAAAAUUUAUGGGGUAAGUCAAGGUUGUUUAAGAAGGGAACCACGUGAUACCUCUAAAAUAUGGAUUGGCUUAUUUUGUAUCUAACCAAAUAAAAAUAACAAUUGAGAUAAGAUAUGAAGUUACCUUUUGAGAGAGAGCCGUUGAAUUGAUUAUAACUCAAAUCCAAUAUUUCCAAAUUUGUCAGAUUAUUUAAUUCUGAAUCAUAUGAUAAAAUAAAAAAUAUAUAUUAGAGAUGAAAUUAUA